Molecule: unclassified non-coding RNA, 192 nt
Filed under: Glomus sp.
Lineage: Eukaryota; Fungi; Glomeromycota; Glomeromycetes; Glomerales; Glomeraceae
Description: partial contains 5.8S ribosomal RNA and internal transcribed spacer 2
Rfam family: 5.8S ribosomal RNA (bases 1-65)
Source: RNAcentral
GUGAAUCAUCGAAUCUUUGAACGCAAAUUGCACUCUCUUCGGUGAGUAUGCCUGUUUGAGGGUCAGCCUAAUAAAAAAUCGACAUAGUCGCUGUUUCGCGUUGACAUUCGGUGGUAAUUGGGUAAUCUUAAACUUUUGUGUUUUAAGGGUCUUAAAAUUUUCUCUUCGAUUCCACCAAUGCUUCUAAGUUAU